Molecule: long non-coding RNA, 1702 nt
Filed under: Lytechinus variegatus (green sea urchin)
Lineage: Eukaryota; Metazoa; Echinodermata; Echinoidea; Temnopleuroida; Toxopneustidae
Description: uncharacterized LOC121417993
Source: RNAcentral
UGUGUGAUGUCCAACUUGCAACACAACCUAAAGGUCCCUUUCUGAGGAGACAGUUUUCCGGAAUGAAUAUUUAUCACGCAAGAGAGCGUUGUUGACGGUGACUAAGAAGAGAACAAUGAAGCCCAGAUUCACAGAUAUUUGCAUUUUCAAAUGCAACUUCUUUGACCAUCUUAUCGUGUGACCCCCGAUAUUUUGUCGUCAAGCGUGCUGGUGAAGUCUUCUCUCUAUACAUCCAUCCAACAUGUCUCAUGUUGGAGAUGUUCUUCUGACCACGAUCGUACAGUCUGAAGAAGCGGUUUCAUGCGCUGACCUUUGAACUCGAGGAGGAGGCCGUGAGCAUGACCUCGAUGGAAGUAGGCCCUCUCUCGGUGAUGUGAUGUCAGAGGGAAUGUCCGUCUUGAUAGUCAGUUUCAGCUUGCCCGGAUGAGCGCAAAAUAAACAAUUUACCUCAUCAAUGACGUCGCAUGCAGACGCUCAACUAAAUUUCCAGAUAAAAGUUUCGAAAGUAGGAAACCACCGUGGAACACUCCCACCCCAUGAGAUUCCUAGAAGCUAACCUUAACCUUCAUCAUCCUUCACACGCUUAUAGGUUUCUCUCCUACAUCAUCAGCGCGAAUGUGUUCGUCGUCAAUUCUUCAUCCACCAAAGCUCAUCAUUCAACAGAGACUGCCAUGUAGACCAGCUUUAACCCGAACUUGAUGGCCAGUUUCCUCGACGAGGGGUGUCUCUGCCAAGGGUUAACUCAGCUUAUUUGAGUGCCAUGCCUCUUAACUACCUAUCAUACUUAAAAUAAGAGUAAUCAGUUAGAGCAUGAUUAUUCAACAUACUGCAAUGCAUACAUAUCUCCCAGUUAAACUUUUAUCUAUAUUCCAUCUAACCAAUCGACACGGCUGGCAUGGUCAUGAUGGUAGCUAACAGUUCGGCCACCAUCAUCAUGAUCAUGUCAAUAACUGACGAAUAAUUAAACAGCGCUAACAUGACUAUCAACUAGUUGAUUCAACGAUUGAAUACCAUGAAUACUUACUUACCCUAUAUAAGCAUAAACAUAAAUCAUCUAUCCAGUCUUCUGCUAAAAAAAUAUAUAAAUAAGCCGACAAAUGAGUUAGUAUUUAAAUUAGUAGGUAAUAAAUCAGCCAAUAAAUUAACUCGCAAUUAGCCAAUUUUUUCAAAGUGGAUUCAUUCAGAGCCAGCCUACUGGAGUCAAAGAGUGCAUGCACUGCUCUGCGGUUCCUAAAUUCAAACAUCUUCUCGUUUCAUACGUGCUUUUUCUACCUCGAUAUUUACUCGUGGGUGCUGUUGUGUAAAUAAAGCAUUUAUAGUCUAAAUAUGAAGGAGAGAAUAAUGUAGAGAAUCAACACCCAUAGAUAGUGAGGGAAGAUUUGAAUAGUUUAAUUUACACGAGCACAAUUUUUCACCCGCCAAGUGGGGCAAUCGUAAUUUGUCGCUUGACAGUUGAGACAAACCCAAAAAGUACAGUUUUAUUAAUCAUAUCAAGUGGAUAUGCGUGCGGUAAAAAAAGGGUAUGUUUGUACAAUUCCCAAAAUGAAACCGUCAUUUUUUGUAUUGUUUGGUGGUCAGUGGCAGUUCAAUCCGAUGGUCAGAAGAGUGGGUAAGUAGGAGACGUAGACAUGACAGAAGACUUGCUGGGCGAGGUAUCACAGGUUCGUUAUACACAGCAGGUUGCACCAUACCAUCAUGAAAC